This 468-nucleotide ribosomal RNA is filed under the name uncultured bacterium. Its description in RNAcentral is "partial 16S ribosomal RNA". It matches the Rfam family "Bacterial small subunit ribosomal RNA", at positions 28 to 507 of the family's 1533-position model. The record is from RNAcentral.
GACGAACGCUGGCGGCGUGCUUAACACAUGCAAGUCGAACGGAAAGGCCCUGCUUUUGUGGGGUGCUCGAGUGGCGAACGGGUGAGUAACACGUGAGUAACCUGCCCUUGACUUUGGGAUAACUUCAGGAAACUGGGGCUAAUACCGGAUAGGAGCUCCUGCUGCAUGGUGGGGGUUGGAAAGUUUCGGCGGUUGGGGAUGGACUCGCGGCUUAUCAGCUUGUUGGUGGGGUAGUGGCUUACCAAGGCUUUGACGGGUAGCCGGCCUGAGAGGGUGACCGGCGACAGGGGGACUGAGGUACGCCCCAGACGGGAACGGGGGGCAGCGGGGGGAAAUAUGACACAGUGGGGGGAGGUCUGGUGCGAAAGCCGCGGGGGGGGAAUGGGGGCUUGUGGGUAAAAAACCGCUUUCGCCUGAAACGAGGGGGGAGUGACGGUAAUGUAAAAAGAAGCACCGGCUAACUACGUG